Molecule: ribosomal RNA, 492 nt
Filed under: uncultured bacterium
Lineage: Bacteria
Description: partial 16S ribosomal RNA
Rfam family: Bacterial small subunit ribosomal RNA
Source: RNAcentral
AGUGAACGCUGGCGGUAGGCCUAACACAUGCAAGUCGAACGGCAGCACAGUAAGAGCUUGCUCUUACGGGAGGCGAGUGGCGGACGGGUGAGGAAUACAUCGGAAUCUACUUUUUCGUCGGGGAGAACGUAGGGAAACGUACGCUAUUACAGCAUACGACCUACGGGUGAAAGCAGGGGAUCUUCGGACCUUGCGCGAUUGAAUGAGCCGAUGUCGGAUUUGCUAGCUGGGGGGGUAAAGGCCCACCAAGGCGACGAUCCGUAGCUGGUCGGAGAGGAUGAGCAGCCACACUGGAACUGAGACACGAUCCGGACCCCAAUGGGAGGCAGGGGUGGGGAAUAUUGGACUAUGAGCGCAAGCCUGAUCCAGCCAUACCGCGUGGGUGGAGAAGGCCUUGGGGUUCUAGAGCCCUUUUGUUGGGAAAGAAAAGCAGAAGGUAAAUAGCCCGCUGUUCUAACGGUACCAAAAGAAUAAGCACCGGCUAACUUCGUG